Oncorhynchus keta (chum salmon) is the source of this 694-nucleotide long non-coding RNA. RefSeq lists it as uncharacterized. The record is from RefSeq and is a predicted model, not a curated record. NCBI's taxonomy places the organism in Eukaryota, Metazoa, Chordata, Actinopteri, Salmoniformes, Salmonidae. The transcript is spliced from 4 exons.
GGAGGCAGGUAGCCUAGUGGUUAGAGGAGGCAGGUAGUCUAGUGGUUAGAGGAGGCAGGUAGCCUAGUGGUUAGAGGAGGCAGGUAGCCUAGUGGUUAGAGGAGGCAGGUAGCCUAGUGGUUAGAGGAGGCAGGUAGUCUAGUGGUUAGAGGAGGCAGGUAGCCUAGUGGUUAGAGGAGGCAGGUAGCCUAGUGGUUAGAGGAGGCAGGUAGCCUAGUGGUUAGAGGAGGCAGGUAGUCUAGUGGUUAGAGGAGGCAGGUAGCCUAGUGGUUAGAGGAGGCAGGUAGCCUAGUGGUUAGAGGAGGCAGGUAGCCUAGUGGUUAGAGGAGGCAGGUAGCCUAGUGGUUAGAGGAGGCAGGUAGCCUAGUGGUUAGAGGAGGCAGGUAGCCUAGUGGUUAGAGGAGGUAGGUAGCCUAGUGGUUAGAGGAGGCAGGUAGCCUAGUGGUUAGAGGAGGCAGGUAGCCUAGUGGUUAGAGGAGGCAGGUAGCCUAGUGGUUAGAGGAGGCAGGUAGCCUAGUGGUUAGAGGAGGCAGGUAGCCUAGUGGUUAGAGGAGGCGGGUAGCCUGGUGGUUAGAGGAGGCAGGUAGCCUGGUGGUUAGAGGAGGCAGGUAGCCUAGUGGUUAGAGGAGGCAGGUAGCCUAGUGGUUAGAGGAGGUGGGUAGCCUAGCGGUUAGAGGAGGCGGGUAGCCUAGUG